UACGUAGGAGGCAAGCGUUGUCCGGAAUUACUGGGCGUAAAGCGUGCGCAGGCGGUCCGUUAAGACAGAUGUGAAAUCCCCGGGCUUAACCUGGGAACUGCAUUUGUGACUGGCGGACUCGAGUAUGGCAGAGGGGGGUAGAAUUCCACGUGUAGCAGUGAAAUGCGUAGAGAUGUGGAGGAAUACCGAUGGCGAAGGCAGCCCCCUGGGCCAAUACUGACGCUCAUGCACGAAAGCGUGGGGAGCAAACAGG
RNAcentral lists this ribosomal RNA (253 nucleotides) under uncultured bacterium. Its description in RNAcentral is "partial 16S ribosomal RNA". It matches the Rfam family "Bacterial small subunit ribosomal RNA", at positions 524 to 776 of the family's 1533-position model. The record is from RNAcentral.